Molecule: ribosomal RNA, 421 nt
Filed under: uncultured bacterium
Lineage: Bacteria
Description: bacterial SSU rRNA
Rfam family: Bacterial small subunit ribosomal RNA
Source: RNAcentral
AGAGUUUGAUCCUGGCUCAGAUUGAACGCUGGCGGCACGCCUUACACAUGCAAGUUGAACGGCAGCGCGGGGCAACCUGGCGGCGAGUGGCGAACGGGUGAGUAAUAUAUCGGAACGUACCCUGGAGUGGGGGAUAACGUAGCGAAAGUUACGCUAAUACCGCAUACGAUCUAAGGAUGAAAGUGGGGGAUCGCAAGACCUCAUGCUCCUGGAGCGGCCGAUAUCUGAUUAGCUAGUUGGCGGGGUAAAAGCCCACCAAGGCAACGAUCAGUAGCUGGUCUGAGAGGACGACCAGCCACACUGGAACUGAGACACGGUCCAGACUCCUACGGGAGGCAGCAGUGGGGAAUUUUGGACAAUGGGCGCAAGCCUGAUCCAGCAAUGCCGCGUGAGUGAAGAAGGCCUUCGGGUUGUAAAGCUC